AUUGAACGCUGGCGGCAGGCCUAACACAUGCAAGUCGAGCGGAUGAAGGUAGCUUGCUACCUGAUUCAGCGGCGGACGGGUGAGUAAUGCCUAGGAAUCUGCCUGGUAGUGGGGGACAACGUUUCGAAAGGAACGCUAAUACCGCAUACGUCCUACGGGAGAAAGUGGGGGAUCUUCGGACCUCACGCUAUCAGAUGAGCCUAGGUACGAUUAGCUAGUUGGUGAGGUAAAGGCUCACCAAGGCGACGAUCGUUAACUGGUCUGAGAGGAUGAUCAGUCACACUGGAACUGAGACACGGUCCAGACUCCUACGGGAGGCAGCAGUGGGGAAUAUUGGACAAUGGGGGGAACCCUGAUCCAGCCAUGCCGCGUGUGAAGAAGGCCUUUUGGUUGUAAAGCACUUUAAGUGGGGAGGAGGCUUACCUGGUUAAUACCUGGGCUAAGUGGACGUUACCCACAGAAUAAGCACCGGCUAACUCUGUGCCAGCAGCCGCCGUAA
This 499-nucleotide ribosomal RNA is filed under the name uncultured bacterium. RNAcentral's name for it is "partial 16S ribosomal RNA". It matches the Rfam family "Bacterial small subunit ribosomal RNA", at positions 30 to 523 of the family's 1533-position model. The record is from RNAcentral.